GUGGUAAAAAGUAAAACUGUCUUAUAGGAAUAAGAAAGGGUUAAAUAUAAACUUACCAUAUUAUUAUAUAAUAAGAGAUAAUUUAAAAUGAAAUUAGAGUAAUAUAAAGUGAAAGAGGCAAAAAUAAAAAAGUACCGAAAGGGAAAGAGAAAGAUUAACAAAGAAGUUAUAUAUAAACGUACCUUUUGUAUCAUGGUUUAGCAAGAGAUUAUUACAAAAGAUAAAGUCUCGAAACCUGCAGAGCUACUAAUAUCCGUCUUUUUAGAAGAAUAGAUUAUGAAAAAUACAUAGUUAUUAGUGUAGCAUUACUUUAGCUAGAGAUAUUAGGAGAAGUGAAAUUCUAUUCGAAGUAGGUGAUAGCUAGUUCCUUCAGAAAUGCAUGUAAAUGCAAAGGCGACUAAAAUUAAAAAGAAAGCUUUAUUCAUAAUACAGGAGAAUAAAGAAAAAGAGUUGCUAUUUAGAUACUUGAGGAUUAGCUCGAGUAUAUACUUAGGAAGGGGUAUAUAAAAGAAAUAAAGUCUGAGCUUGAAAUUAGCUAAGAUAUAAAGUGUGUUAUAAAUUAUUUUAAUGAAGUGAAAUUUAAUAUAUUUAUCUUGUUAAAAUGGAGGAAUAGAGUUUAAUAAAGAUCUCUAAAUAGAAUGCUGAGAUGAGUAUUAAUAUGUUAUAUAUGGAAAUUAAGAUCUAGAUAAGUUUAGAAAAAAGGAAAUAACAAAAAAGUAAUGAUAAGGAACUCGGCAAAUAUAGUUCUCGCCUGUUUAGCAAAAACAUGGCUCUCUGUUAAUACGUUAUAGAUAGGGAGUCGGACCUGCCCGGUGUAUACUAUUUAUAAACGGCCGCGGUACUUUGACCGUGCAAAGGUAGCAUAAUAAUUUGUUCAAUAAUUGUGGACUGGUAUGAAUGGUUUGACGAGGGAUUGACUGUCUCAUUAUUAUUUUCUAGAAAUUGACUUUUAGGUUAAAAGGCCUAAAUAAAACACAAAGACGAGAAGACCCUGGUGAGCUUAAUGAAAGUUAGCUGAAAAUUAAACAGGAACAUAGUUUGGAUGGGGCGUCAAAAGAACAUGAGAAGCUUCUUUUAAUUAUAUUAAAGAGAUAAUGAUCCGAUAGUAUAUCGAGAAAAAGAGAAAGUUACCACAGGGAUAACAGCAUAAUCUUUCUUAAGAGUCCAAAUUGAAAGAAAGGUUUGUGACCUCGAUGUUGGACUAGAGAUACCUGGAGGUGCAGCAGUCCCAAAGGUUGGUCUGUUCGACCAUUAAAACUCU
This 1261-nucleotide ribosomal RNA is filed under the name Cupolaconcha guana. RNAcentral describes it as "partial 16S ribosomal RNA". It matches the Rfam family "Bacterial large subunit ribosomal RNA", at positions 135 to 2597 of the family's 2925-position model. Lineage: Eukaryota; Metazoa; Mollusca; Gastropoda; Littorinimorpha; Vermetidae. The record is from RNAcentral.